UUACAUGUUCUUAGUUUCGGCUUUUAAAGCCGAUUUACAUGAAAUCCCUAGUCUAUGCCUAUGCCUGUCUCGCUUGCCUUGAUUUGUUUGCAGGGAUCAACGCACGUGGAUGGAAGUGACGGUGGCAGUUGGCGGUGGUUGCUGGCAGAGCAGGUGGGCAGAAGACCAAAAGUCAGAAGACCCUAGGAGCGGCGCCUAGGGUUCUUCUGUUUUCUGCUAGGGUUUUCUGUUUCCUUUAUUUUUGGUUGGGCCAUUUGGGCUGUUUAAGUUAGUUGGGUAUUGAAAGUUUGGGUUUAAUUUGUUUUGGGUUUGUAUUAGUUUUGAUGGGCUUUGGGUUGGGGGUUUA
RNAcentral lists this long non-coding RNA (346 nucleotides) under Gossypium raimondii (Peruvian cotton). Its description in RNAcentral is "long non-coding RNA (GRAI_LNC004590)". The record is from RNAcentral. Lineage: Eukaryota; Viridiplantae; Streptophyta; Magnoliopsida; Malvales; Malvaceae.